RNAcentral lists this ribosomal RNA (677 nucleotides) under uncultured Ralstonia sp. RNAcentral's name for it is "bacterial SSU rRNA". It matches the Rfam family "Bacterial small subunit ribosomal RNA", at positions 90 to 763 of the family's 1533-position model. The record is from RNAcentral. Lineage: Bacteria; Pseudomonadati; Pseudomonadota; Betaproteobacteria; Burkholderiales; Burkholderiaceae.
GGCGAGUGGCGAACGGGUGAGUAAUACAUCGGAACGUGCCCUGUAGUGGGGGAUAACUAGUCGAAAGAUUAGCUAAUACCGCAUACGACCUGAGGGUGAAAGUGGGGGACCGCAAGGCCUCAUGCUAUAGGAGCGGCCGAUGUCUGAUUAGCUAGUUGGUGAGGUAAAGGCUCACCAAGGCGACGAUCAGUAGCUGGUCUGAGAGGACGAUCAGCCACACUGGGACUGAGACACGGCCCAGACUCCUACGGGAGGCAGCAGUGGGGAAUUUUGGACAAUGGGCGAAAGCCUGAUCCAGCAAUGCCGCGUGUGUGAAGAAGGCCUUCGGGUUGUAAAGCACUUUUGUCCGGAAAGAAAUGGCUCUGGUUAAUACCUGGGGUCGAUGACGGUACCGGAAGAAUAAGGACCGGCUAACUACGUGCCAGCAGCCGCGGUAAUACGUAGGGUCCAAGCGUUAAUCGGAAUUACUGGGCGUAAAGCGUGCGCAGGCGGUUGUGCAAGACCGAUGUGAAAUCCCCGAGCUUAACUUGGGAAUUGCAUUGGUGACUGCACGGCUAGAGUGUGUCAGAGGGGGGUAGAAUUCCACGUGUAGCAGUGAAAUGCGUAGAGAUGUGGAGGAAUACCGAUGGCGAAGGCAGCCCCCUGGGAUAACACUGACGCUCAUGCACGAAAGCGUG